GUGAACGCUGGCGGUAGGCCUAACACAUGCAAGUCGAACGGCAGCACAGUAAGAGCUUGCUCUUACGGGUGGCGAGUGGCGGACGGGUGAGGAAUACAUCGGAAUCUACUUUUUCGUGGGGGAUAACGUAGGGAAACUUACGCUAAUACCGCAUACGACCUACGGGUGAAAGCAGGGGAUCUUCGGACCUUGCGCGAUUGAAUGAGCCGAUGUCGGAUUAGCUAGUUGGCGGGGUAAAGGCCCACCAAGGCGACGAUCCGUAGCUGGUCUGAGAGGAUGAUCAGCCACACUGGAACUGAGACACGGUCCAGACUCCUACGGGAGGCAGCAGUGGGGAAUAUUGGACAAUGGGCGCAAGCCUGAUCCAGCCAGACCGCGUGGGUGAAGAAGGCCUUCGGGUUGUAAAGCCCUUUUGUUGGGAAAGAAAAGCAGCAGGUUAAUACCCCGCUGUUCUGACGGUACCCAAAGAAUAAGCACCGGCGAACUUCGU
RNAcentral lists this ribosomal RNA (490 nucleotides) under uncultured bacterium. Its description in RNAcentral is "partial 16S ribosomal RNA". It matches the Rfam family "Bacterial small subunit ribosomal RNA", at positions 29 to 506 of the family's 1533-position model. The record is from RNAcentral.